RNAcentral lists this ribosomal RNA (586 nucleotides) under uncultured delta proteobacterium. RNAcentral describes it as "bacterial SSU rRNA". It matches the Rfam family "Bacterial small subunit ribosomal RNA", at positions 59 to 622 of the family's 1533-position model. The record is from RNAcentral. RNAcentral also lists the same sequence under 1 other name. Lineage: Bacteria; Deltaproteobacteria.
AAGUCGUGCGAGAACGGUUCCUUCGGGAACCCAGUAAAGCGGCGAACGGGUGAGUAACACGUGAGCGAUCUGCCCGAGGAUGGGGGAUAGCCCAGGGAAACCUGGAUUAAUACCGCGUACAGCGCUGGGACUGGAUGCCCAGCGUAAAAGCUGGCCUCUUUACAAUGCUAGCGCCCUCGGAUGAGCUCGCGGCCUAUCAGCUUGUUGGUGGGGUAAUGGCCUACCAAGGCUACGACGGGUAGCUGACGUGAGAGCGUGAUCAGCCACAUUGGGACUGAGACACGGCCCAGACUCCUACGGGAGGCAGCAGUGGGGAAUAUUGCGCAAUGGGCGAAAGCUUGACGCAGCGACGCCGCGUGGGGGAGGAAGACCCUAGGGUUGUAAACCCCUGUCAGGUGGGACGAACUCCCUAUCGGAUAAUACUCGAUAGGACUGACGGUACCACCAGAGGAAGCUCCGGCUAACUCCGUGCCAGCAGCCGCGGUAAUACGGGGGGAGCAAGCGUUGUUCGGAAUUACUGGGCGUAAAGGGCGCGUAGGCGGCCUUGUAAGUCGGAUGUGAAAUGCCGGAGCUCAAAUCCGUGCAC